GAUGAACGCUAGCGGCAGGCCUAAUACAUGCAAGUCGAACGGUAAGCGCCCUCGGGGCGCGAGAGUGGCGCACGGGUGCGUAACACGUAGGUAACCUGCCCCGGANCGGGGGAUAACAUUUGGAAACAGAUGCUAAUACCGCAUAACAACAAAAGCCACAUGGCUUUGUUUGAAAGAUGGCUUUGGCUAUCACUCUGGGAUGGACCUGCGGUGCAUUAGCUAGUUGGCGGGGUAACGGCCCACCAAGGCGACGAUCAGUAGCCGGACUGAGAGGUUGAACGGCCACAUUGGGACUGAGAUACGGCCCAGACUCCUACGGGAGGCAGCAGUGGGGAAUAUUGGGCAAUGGGCGAAAGCCUGACCCAGCAAUGCCGCGUGAAGGAAGAAGGCCUUCGGGUUGUAAACUUCUUUUAUCAGGGACGAAGGAUGUGACGGUACCUGAUGAAUAAGCUCCGGCUAACUACGUG
RNAcentral lists this ribosomal RNA (467 nucleotides) under uncultured bacterium. RNAcentral describes it as "bacterial SSU rRNA". It matches the Rfam family "Bacterial small subunit ribosomal RNA", at positions 28 to 507 of the family's 1533-position model. The record is from RNAcentral.